This 775-nucleotide long non-coding RNA is filed under the name Rattus norvegicus (Norway rat). Its description in RNAcentral is "long non-coding RNA NONRATT023121". Lineage: Eukaryota; Metazoa; Chordata; Mammalia; Rodentia; Muridae. The record is from RNAcentral.
GUCAUCACCACCAAAAAAAGAAGAGCAGACAUCGAUGCUGGUCCCCACCACCGCCCCACGGGUUCAGGGCGUACCAGCUCUACACGCUGUACCGUGGCGAGGACGGGAAAGUGAUGCAGGCACCAAUCAAAGGUUGUCGCUGUGAGCCUCUGAUCAACAAGCUGGAGAACCAGCUGGAGGCGGCUGUGGAGGAGUUAAGAGCUGAGCUGGGAACAGUGCAGGACAAAGUGAACACAAAGCUGGGCCACAUGGAGAGCAAGAGCCAGCACCAAGUAAGCAAGGGACUCGUCUCUCCAUGACAGCUGUGAAGGGCUCGUGCUGUGGCUCAGUGGUAGAUCCCUGGCCCAGCAUGUGGCAGCCUUGCACACAUAAAGAUCAUGGAAGUCAUGCAUUCCUGCCAGGCAGAGUGCACAUGCCUGUGAUGUCAGCACUUAAGAGGCUGAGUCAGGAGAUCACAAACUCAAGGGCAGUCUGGGCAGCAUAGUGAGACUUUGUCUCUUACAAGAAAGAAAAGUGGCAGGUGAUGGGGGCGCACACCCUUGAUCCCAGCACAGGAGACGCAGAGGCAGGCAGGUCUUACAGAAUGAGUUCCAGGCCAUCCAGAGCUACACAGAGAAACUCUGUCUUUAAAAAUCAAAAACAGGAAAAGGAAAAAGAAAGAGAAAAAAAAAAGCAAUACACUCUCAUUUCAGAGAGUGUUUGUUUGUUUGUUUGUUUGUUUUAAGAAAAAGCAGCAUUAGAGAGGAUGCCAAUUGCCCACAAGCCUGUGGUGAUU